CCUACGGGAGGCUGCAGUGGGGAAUAUUGCACAAUGGGAGCAAGCCUGAUGCAGUCAUGCCGCGUGUGUGAAGAAGGCCUUCGGGUUGUAAAGCACUUUCAGCGAGGAGGAAGGGUGGUGUGUUAAUAGCACAUCACAUUGACGUUACUCGCAGAAGAAGCACCGGCUAACUCCGUGCCGGCAGCCGCGGUAAUACGGAGGGUGCAAGCGUUAAUCGGAAUUACUGGGCGUAAAGCGCACGCAGGCGGUUUGUUAAGUCAGAUGUGAAAUCCCCGCGCUUAACGUGGGAACUGCAUUUGAAACUGGCAAGCUAGAGUCUUGUAGAGGGGGGUAGAAUUCCAGGUGUAGCGGUGAAAUGCGUAGAGAUCUGGAGGAAUACCGGUGGCGAAGGCGGCCCCCUGGACAAAGACUGACGCUCAGGUGCGAAAGCGUGGGGAGCA
Molecule: ribosomal RNA, 440 nt
Filed under: uncultured bacterium
Lineage: Bacteria
Description: bacterial SSU rRNA
Rfam family: Bacterial small subunit ribosomal RNA
Source: RNAcentral